Molecule: ribosomal RNA, 427 nt
Filed under: uncultured bacterium
Lineage: Bacteria
Description: bacterial SSU rRNA
Rfam family: Bacterial small subunit ribosomal RNA
Source: RNAcentral
UGGGGAAUUUUGGACAAUGGGCGCAAGCCUGAUCCAGCAAUGCCUCGUGCAGGAUGAAGGCCUUCGGGUUGUAAACUGCUUUUGUACGGAGCGAAAAGGUCUGCCCUAAUACGGUGGGCUCAUGACGGUACCGUAAGAAUAAGCACCGGCUACCUACGUGCCAGCAGCCGCGUUAAUACGUAGGGUGCGAGCGUUAAUCGGAAUUACUGGGCGUAAAGCGUGCGCAGGCGGUUAUAUAAGACAGAUGUGAAAUCCCCGGGCUCAACCUGGGAACUGCAUUUGUGACUGUAUAGCUAGAGAACGGCAGAGGGGGAUGGAAUUCCGAGGGUAGGAGUGGAAUGCGUGGAUAUGCGGAGGAAAACCGAGGGAGAAGGCAAUCCCCUGGGCCUGUACUGACGCGCAUGCACGAAAGCGUGGGGAGCAAACA